GACGUAAAACCGGAAGGGACUUGACGGCGAACCGGGAGUAGUUUAUGUUGCCGCAAGCUGACGCAAGCUAGUUAAAUUAAUCUUAAAACCACUUCAUACUGACGCUGUACUGUUGAGUACUGCCCAAUGUGGGAGGAAACCCCCAGGGUGACCCAGAACUUGUGAAUGUUGCAUCCCCUUCUGGCCCGGGAACAUCCUGGGAUCCUCCAGGAGGAACUGAAGACUGUCACUGGGGGACGAGGAUGUCUGGGUCUCACCCCUUGAAAUGUUAUUUCUGCAUUGCCUUCAGGUGAACACAGACGGAUGGAUUUACAAAAAAGCCGCGCGGAGAUAAAUGAGCCAGAUGUCUUCAAAGGGACGAUGUGCUUCAUCUACAGAAGCAAGACGCCCAACCUGGACAAGAUGGCCGCUGACCUGCUGGCUGCAGCUGACUGGGUGGAGAAUGUGUGUACUUACACCUGUUGCACUGUAGAAAUCCUGCACUGAUCAGCCAUGAUGUUGAACUUCUUGUCUGCUAUUAAAAGCAGACUUUCAAACUUUUAAAUCA
Xiphophorus couchianus (Monterrey platyfish) is the source of this 547-nucleotide long non-coding RNA. RefSeq lists it as uncharacterized. The record is from RefSeq and is a predicted model, not a curated record. The transcript has 3 exons. Lineage: Eukaryota; Metazoa; Chordata; Actinopteri; Cyprinodontiformes; Poeciliidae.